CUUAAUUCUCAGAGGUUAAGAAAACAUUUAUUCUUUUAAAAAGUCACAUUUGUUUACUUUUGGGAGAAGAGUUCAAUUUUAGAAAUUCAAUACCAUGGCUUCCUAUUGACUUAUGCUUCAUCUUUGUAGCCAAGCACGUGUCCAAAUGACCAACAGGCUCAUAGUUCCACAUCCUUGUGUCCACCUUCUAAUGACGUAACCGCUGAUGGCUCCUCCAGCUUAUCUGGGGUGUGGGUGAGCCCAGGAAUCACUGCUCAUUCACAAUGCCCACACCCAGAAUUAUCCACUAUACAGGUAAUGUUGGAGCUUGUUCUCAGUUUGGAAUGUGCUGUAUGUAGCAAUGUACUUGAUCUGCUCUUUUCUAGGAAAUGGAGUCAAUUAAUUAAUUGUCUACAUUCAUGUUAAUGUUUCGUAUAAUUACAGGUAACAUUAAGGCAAUUUAUGGUAAGUCCCUGUUUUCAAAGAGCUAAUGUUCUAGUUUGGAAUUAAAUUUACAAUAGAUAGAAAGCAUAUAUGAAAGAAAGUCAAAGAAAAACAUGUAAGGUACAAAUGCACAGUUGGGAAGUGGUAGGGGAACAUACAUAUUGGUCCUCUAAGGUUUAAGUCACUAAUCACACUCUCAUAGAAAACUCUCCUAUUUAAAGCUUAUGGAUCUGACUCUGUUGGUGAUUACCUUAUUUUCUUAGACAGUUGCAACUUCUGAACCUGUGUAUGGAAUCUUAUUUAACUUUCAUGUGACCUUAUAUGAUGAUCUUGACAUAGAAGUCUAUCUUCUCUGAAGCUUCUGCACCAGCUUUGGAGUCUAGGCUGAGUUCUUCUUGGUUCCUAACCUCACAUCUGGUUGACAGAACUAACUUUUCCUCAUGACUGGCUUUAGCUUUUAUAUAGCAACUUGACCUUGACUAUAAAUCAUUGAUUUCAUUAGACCAUUUGGUUGGGUUUUGUGAAAUUUCUACUUAUCCCUGCUUAAUCUUGCUGUAGAGGCUCAGAAGAGUUUGAGUCUUUCUUGAUCCUGGAUUAAAACUAUCAACUCUUUAUAUUGCUUCUGGGGCAAUGUGAAAGAAUGAAUGAAGUCAAUAGGAUGUAGUUAUAAAAUGCUUCUUUUAUGUUUGUAGAGGUUAUUAAGUCAUAUUAACCAUAGAAUUGAAAGAUAACAAUGGUCUACUGGUUCUUAAUGCUAACUGCAUGAUAGAAUCACCUGGAAACUGUUUAAGACAUGCCAGUGCUUCAGCUGCACUGUAGACCAAUUAAAUAAGAAGCUGGGGGUGGGUGCCAUGAAGUUAUAGUUUUUAAAAACUUCUCAGAUGAAUCUGAUGUGAGCCAGAGAUAAAAAUGACUGAUGCAGGUGUCUUCCAUCAUUAAGUCACAGGGGAAACCUGCCCAAAGAGAGUCAAGAGACUUCCAGAAUCCACCUAGGUCUUGUUUUCAAGGUGCCAAAACAGGAGAGGAGGUUGGGUUUUCCAUUGUUUGUGUGCAAUUUACUUCAUGAAAGUCCUCAAGUGUGUUUAAGGCAGUGUUAGAGGCUCCUACCUGAUGUACAUAACCUUCAGUUAUGUAAUUAUUAAAAGUACAGAAUCAUUAAUAAAAUACGUCACUAAUUUACAUUUUUCAGAUUUUCCCAAGAUUUACUAUUUUCCCCAAGAUAUGCUAUUUUCUUAUUAACUAAUGCCAAACUAUGUAACCAGACUCUAAGUCUCCUAACCAAUCAUUAACCUAAAGUACACUUGCACUUUAUUUCUAAUCUAAAAUUCCCAUCUAAAAAAGUCCCCUUAAAUCUUAUAUUUAAAACAUCCUAAAGUUUAUAAAUAUUCUCAAAACAUAUCAGAAACCUAUACAACUAAAAACUUAAGAAUUUUUAAACUUAAGAAUCUAAAUAAAAUAAUAUUUCUAACAUUCUUCUAAAACUGUGUCUUAUAAAGCUAUUUUAAUUAAUUCCUAAAUUUAUUCUCAUAAAACUGGUUGAGCUGCUUUCUCAAAGAGUUUCUUUGUUUCUCAGUCAAGGUGCACUAGUUCUCAUAUCUUUAUAAUCUUUCUCAAUAGAAAGUAAGUUCUAAACAUCAAUCCACUUUCCACCAAUAUUAACUAUGCUCAUCAUAUAUCCCUAUGUAAAGUAAGAAAGGGUUUAUAAAAAGAGAAGAAUAUAUCUUUAUAUGUUUUAACUUUCCUAAGUGUAUAAUAUAACUUUCCUUAAUCAAAAAUGAGACUGCAUGGGGUGAACUUUGUAAAAUAAGCAUAAUGAUUAGAUUUUCUAAGAGGCAGGAAAUAUGGGCUUGGGUUCUAGUUGAUAUAAUCAAUGUGGUGCCUAAAAUUCUCAUGACCUUUCAAAGGAUGAUUGUUGUCCAUUAUCAGAUUUGUCCACAAUAUACUGAGAUAGAAGAACAGCCUUCUACUUUGUCCUUGAUAUGCUGAGGGGUAGUAGAACAGCCUCCAAGGCAUGAACUUCCUGUUAUGUUCUAGCCAUCUGAAAUUUAAUUUGUUUGGCUUUUAACAUACUCAUGCCUCCUGUCAGAAACAUAAGCAUGAAAAUGAAAAGUCCCAGUUACAUAAAAAAGGGUCUCAUGGUUUCGACUUCCCACCAACCAGUGUGGCUUUGCCAGCGUUCAUCCUCACUGUGACCCUGUCAAGACAGUGGGAGAGCGGCUUGGCCAGCACUUUUUCUCACUGUGACCCUGUCAAUACAGUGAGUGGGGGAUCGCCUUCACCAAAGGCUGAAAGUGGGUAAUGAGCCCCCCAAAGGAACCGAUGAUUCUGGGGAGUUUGGAAGACACAAAAGAGAAUGGAGUGUCUCAGAAGCAAAAAGAAAGACAUGUUGUAAAACAGAGGAGAAGGGAUGGUGUCCAGGGGCAAACGCGGUGGAGGACUUCAGUAAGAAGAGCGCUUACACGGGCAUUUAGGCUUUAGUGGAUGAAUAUAAUUGGUGACUAUUUCAGUGGCCUGAUGGGAGCAGAAGCCCAACCGGAUUGGGCUGAAAAGUGUGCCAAUGGAGACACUGCAUUCAAAUGACUCUCAGGAAAUUUUGGUUUUCAGAGAAAGAGAAAGGGUUGUUGGAGGGUGAUUUGGAAUCAAAGGAGUUUUUUUUCUUUUUCUUUUUUUCUGUAAAGUAGCUUUUGUUUCUUUGGUAGUUUGUUUGGAGUGUGAUUAAAUGUGGAAAGUGGUGAAGAAAUUCUAUCCAGGGUAAUCAAAAGAGAAAAUCUGCUGGGAAGGGCACAGGGGAUGGAACCCAAAAGACAGGUUGGAGCACCAGCUUCAGAUGGUAGAGGAUAGCUCUUCUGUCAACCAAGAAAGAGGUGAAGUCCAGGUAGCUUAGGUUUGCAGGUUUGGUAGUUGGUGGAGUUUUCAUUUGAUGGGUUCAAGUUUUCCAAUGAAGUAGGAAGGAGGGAAGAGGAAAGCCAUUUGAUUGGAAUGGGGAGGGAUGAUUUGUGCACGGGGAACGAUGGGUGGAGGUUACAGGUUUGAAGAGUGAGAAGAAGACUGAGGACGUACUUGAGAUUUGAGGGAGUAUCUUGAUCCAAGAUCUGUAAGGGGGUGUCAGAGCAAUGCAAAAAAUCCUCUUGAGGAGGGGAUCUGCCCAGGUGCUUGGCUUUUCACAACAGUGUGACUGCUCCAAAGUCCAGAGAAAGUAAAUCAUCAUUUAUUUGCCAGCCAGCGGAGAUGAAAAGAGGGAAAUACAAGAGACUUCAGGGAAUCACCAAGAGUGCUAUUAAAUAAUGGAACAAAAUGUGGACAAGGAAAGAUGUAGUGAAGUACUAACCACUGAACCAAAGGUUUUUUUUUUUUUUAAUCAAACUAAAGAAAGGUCAUCAUGGAAUGGCUGGGUGAACAAGCUGGAGAGAGAGGACAUGGUGGUUAGGAGACAAAAUUCUUGAGGAAGUGAUAGAUAUUGGAAGUGGAGCAGGGUUUGGCAUUGAGUGGAGGAUCAAGUGUGUGAAAGAGAAUUUACCAUUUAAAAAUAUUUGUCUGCCCACAUGAAAAGUCAACGGACAGUGAUGGAGGAGGAAGGAAUAAGUAGAGCAUGGGUGAUUUUUAAGGCAGUGAAACUACUUUGUAUAAUGUUGGAUAUAUGUCAUUACGUGUUAUACAUUUAUAUUUUUCCAAAUCCAUAAAGUGUUCCAUACCAAGAGUGAAUCUUAGCAUAAACUAUGGACUCUGGGUGAUAAUUAGUUGCCAAUGUGGAUUCAUCACACAUAACAAAUGAACCACGGUGCAGGAUAUCGAUAAUGGGGGAAGUUAUGUACCUGCAGGGGAAGGGUGUGUGUAGAUUAUCUAUAUACACUUGACUCUGUUUUCCCCUGGAUCUAAAAUAGCCCUAAUACAUAAGGUCUAUUAAAAUAAAACAAACAAACAAAAAAGGAAAAUAGAAUAACAGAAGAGAUAUUGGCAGAUUUGUCUUUUUUCUAAUGUCCGGGAAAGCAUGGCGUUUCUUCCACCUGGAUGAACAUCUGGAUGUUUUUAAAGUCUAAACUCCAGAGUCAUAUAGUGAUUAAAACAAAGUCAAUACAAUACAUUGUAAGUUGUAAGUAGCACAAAAAGGAUGACCCAUUGCAAACAUUUUUGUCUUUAUAAGUGAUAUUUUGAUUCACACUCUUCUUAGGUGAAAGGAAAUAGCGGCAGUGACUGGUCUCUGUGGAAAGUUUUCCUGGUCUGCCUCUUAGCCUGUGCGAUAACAACAGCAAUUGGAGUCCUCGUAAUAUGCCUGGUGAAUAAUCGAGGAAGUAAUUCCUCCGUUGUUAUCCAGCUACCCACAAACAGUGGAGGGGUGGUAGAUAGGGAAUCUGGAACAGCCUCUACUACUUCCCAACCUACAGUGACCACCACUUCAACUGAACCUUCAACUAUCACCACUUCAACAGAAUCUACAACCACAACGGUCACAACCAGUUCUUCAACUCAGCCUUUAACCACAGCACCCCUCACCACAACUUCAAGUAGAACCAGAUAUAUCACCACUGCCACAGAAUCCAUGGGUACGGUGGCUCCUCCAUAGCUAUUAUUUGAAGAGCCACAACCAUCACUUCAUAGGAAUCUACCCUCUCUACCCGACAACCUAGCUCACAACCACAGCAGCUACUCCUACCCCUUGAAGUUGAACAACAGCUGGUGCCACUUUAUCAGACUUGCUGUUGUGACUUCAUAGCACCAAAUGCUAGUGAAACUGAUGCUUAGCUGACAGCCAGAUCCUCACCUCCACCAUCUUUUCAACGAAACCCAUGGCUACCUGUGCUUCAAGUGAAAGUACAGCUACUACCACAUCCACUUAACCUACAACUACAGGAACUUCUACUUACUCUACAAUAAGUGUUGAUUACCCUCACUAGGAAUCACAAAUGCCGCCAUUAACAUUUUAACCUUAACUAAGUUACUAUCAGUCACCAGAACAAUCUCUUCUAUCUCAUUAACCUUUAGUCAUUACAACUACAAAUUAGCCUAAAAUUAUUCCCCACAUUGACUUUUCUGAGAAUUUAUAUUGGACUACUUCUUCUACAGGAGCUGAAUCUGUAUCAUUGCCAUUACUAAGUUACCAUGAUGCCACCAUGGACCAUGGAUAAUGGAAUAAUUACCCCAAUUUUUAUGAAGUCAACAAUUAGGAUUUAUAAAAUUAUUAAAACUGUUUUAGAAUAAUAGCAGUUAAGCUAUAAGAAUCUGAUCUUGGUUCUCUAGUUCCAAAUAAUAUAUAGCUUUAUAUAAAAAAGUGACUAUUUGUUUGCUAGAAAUCAUCCUGAGAUUUUAUAUAAAAUGUUAUACUAAAAUUAGCCAUUUGGAUUUUAAUAUAUAUUGGUUUCAGUUCAGAACGUUGCAUUUCUGUGUACACAAAUUACAUGCAUAAUGAACAGGGAUUUCAUAUGCAGGGGAUUUAAACAAAUUUAUACAGAAAAAUGUUAGAAUUUAUAACAAUUAUUUCUUCUAGGGUGAAUUUUGUUAUGUUUUUUUCAAUUUCUGUUUAUAUUGUAACUUGCUUUUAAUCAAUCAUAUUCAUUUUUGGACUAAUAUUACUAAAAGUGCAUUUGGGUUUUUAAAUUUGUAUUUUAAAUUACUUUCUGCAAUAUUGUAAGUCACUCAAUUGACAUUUCUUGAGUCACGGCUGGGUACUACAGCACUGAAAAGGUAUACCAGAAGAAAAGAAAAUGCACAUUAACUAAUAAAUUCAUUAAUUUAGAGUGUUAAUAUUUAAUUCUUAAUGACUUUGGAAGGUUUGAAUUAGAACUGAUAAUGAUGCAGACUUUCUAAAUCAGGAUCUUAGAUUGUAACUAGUAAUCUGUACUUAAAAAACUGUAUUGAUAUUUAUAAUAUUCAGGGAGUUUGAGAAUUAAAGAUUCAAAGGUCGUAGUCUUAUAAUGACAUUAGUUAGAGUGGUGUACAUUAAAAUUAAAAAUGUUAAAAUCAGAACUGUGUUCCAAGCAGGCAAGAAAGAGAAUUACAGAAUUAUAGAUCUAGGUAAGCUCCAAAUCAUCUUCAGCAAUUUAGUGAGGCCCAAAGCAACUUAGCAAGACCCUGUCUCAAAAUGAUAUAUAAAAAAGGUUGAAGAUAUGGAAUGGUAAAGCAUCCCUGUGUUCAACCCCUGGUACCAGAAGGAAAAAAAAACACCUAAAAACUCUAUGUAUAAAAACUUAUUUAGAAAAUGGUAAUUCCAAGUAAGAAAUGAACUAUCUAGGAACAUGUCAAGGAACAUGAGAUCAAUAGGGGAAUGUUUCAUUUACCAAAUAGCAAAGAAAUAUUUUUAAGACAAAUCUUAAAUUUUAAGUUUCUCUGAAAAUCUUAAAGUACUUGUUUUUUUUACCAUUGGACCUAAGGGAAUAUUUUCUUAUAUAUGCUUAAAAGUAAUGACAUUUUAUAACUACUUAAUUUGAAUUUUUAAUAAUUACACAUUGGCUUUCUCUUCCUUUCUUAAUGUUUGGAUUAAGAAUAUUUUUUGAGAUAUUUAAAACAUCAGUGACUAGAUAGUUCAUUUCUUACUUGGAAUUACCAUUUUCUAAUCCUUUCACAGUUCUGCUAGUCACAAGAAUGAUAAAUAAUUUGAAAUGCAUUCAUUUG
This 7029-nucleotide long non-coding RNA is filed under the name Marmota monax (woodchuck). The record is from RNAcentral. Lineage: Eukaryota; Metazoa; Chordata; Mammalia; Rodentia; Sciuridae.